This 261-nucleotide ribosomal RNA is filed under the name uncultured archaeon. RNAcentral's name for it is "partial 16S ribosomal RNA". It matches the Rfam family "Archaeal small subunit ribosomal RNA", at positions 748 to 1009 of the family's 1478-position model. The record is from RNAcentral.
UAGCCGUAAACGAUACUCGCUAGGUGUCGGCCACGGUGCGACCGUUGUCGGUGCCGUAGGGAAGCCGUGAAGCGAGCCACCUGGGAAGUACGGCCGCAAGGCUGAAACUUGAAGGAAUUGGCGGGGGAGCACCACAACGCGUGGAGCCUGCGGUUUAAUUGGAUUCAACGCCGGACAUCUCACCAGGGGCGACAGCAGAGUGAUGGCCAGGUUGAUGACCUUGCUUGACAAGCUGAGAGGUGGUGCAUGGCGUAGUCGUGU